GCCAUCAUGGCAUAGUAGUUUGAGCAUUGGACUAUGACUCUGGAGAUGAGGGUUCAAAUCCCUGUUUGGACA
This is a non-coding RNA of Phrynosoma platyrhinos (Desert horned lizard), 72 nucleotides long. The record is from the annotation of a GenBank genome assembly. NCBI's taxonomy places the organism in Eukaryota, Metazoa, Chordata, Lepidosauria, Squamata, Phrynosomatidae.